This 289-nucleotide unclassified non-coding RNA is filed under the name Hevea brasiliensis (rubber tree). The record is from RNAcentral. Lineage: Eukaryota; Viridiplantae; Streptophyta; Magnoliopsida; Malpighiales; Euphorbiaceae.
GGUUUUUGCAACAAAAUCUAGCAAAUUUAAGCUCUUUGCUUGACAGUGGGCAAGAAAUCUCUCAUUUGAGCAAAAUCUUCCACACUGGAAGACAACCCUUUACAAAACUUAAGCUUGCAAGCUUCUAAGAUCUCGUAAACCAAGAAAUUAAGAACAAUACUGCGAGUUACAAAUCAGAAGAUACCCUUUUCAAGAUUUACUCAAACAAGGUCACCAAGUUGCUCUAAAUCAAGAAAAAGAUAGCCACUUUAAUGUGAAAACAAAGAACAACUUAGAUUUUUUGAGUUCA